CUUGGAAGCAAUGGAAUCCCAGAAGUAUGGAACACACACAUCACCCAGAUUCUGACUUCUAAUACCAGUCUCUAAAGAAAGGAACAAGACAUCCUGGCAGAUACUGUGGAUUCUAGGGCUGGGCAGGGCAUAUAGAAGAAGAGCCUGGCAUGUCUCAUAGUGCCAGAAUGAACAGAGCUGGGACCAGCGAGGUGAAGGGUCUCACUGAGGUCAUUCAACUACAAAAUGCCAGAGCAGGAGUGGAGGCCAAGUCCCCAGGCUCCAAUUCAUGACCUCAAGACCCUGGCAACCACCAUUCUCCUUCCUGCAUCUGUGAAUUUGAUUAGGUACCUCAUGUAAGUGGAAUCAUGCAGUAUGCAUCCUUUCAUAAAUGACUGAUUUAACUUAGCAUAAUGUCUUCAAGGUUCAUGCAUGUUGCAGCAUGUGUCAGAAUUUCACUCCUUUUUAAAGGUAAAUAAUAUUCUAUUGUAUGUUUAUACCACAUUUUAUUUAUAUAUCAUUUGUUGAUGAACACUUGGGUUGCUUCUUCCUUUGGCUUUUUAAAUACUGCUGCUCUGAACAUGUGUGUGCAAAUAUCUGUUCAAGUCCUUGCUUAUUUUUAAUUCUUUUGGGUAUAUACCCGGAAGUGGAAUUGUGGGAUUAUAUGGUAAUUCUGUUUCUAGUUUUUUGAGGAACUGCCAUACUGUUUUCCACAGCAGUUGCCACAUUCUACAUUCCCACCAGCAGGGCACAAGAGUUCCAAUUUCUCCACAUCCUCACGAUUACUUGUUAUUUAUUUAUAUAUUUUUUUGCUAAUAGCCAUACCAAUGGGUGUGAAGUUCACCUUUUUCAUGUGUUGCAAGAAUUUACUUUUACAUGUUAAUUCAUUUAUGCAUUUGAUGUCUUUUUUCCCCCAUCAUGUAUUACAGUAGGUUUAUCUGAACAUCUUGCCCAACCUUUCUUCAGCACUCUGCCAAGUAUUCUGGAUUUUCACAUUUCUGACCACUGCAUCCUAAAAAUUUCUACAGCUCAACUGUAUAUUUGCAGAACACAGCACAAUUAAAAGUCAAGAAGGAGGAGACAGUAAAGGACGAUGAGCAAGUAUGAAGAGAUUCUUCCUUCCCACACUGAGUGCUGUGGUCAGUGCCCCUGUGUCUGUGAGCCAGGUGCCGACUCCCACCCAGUACUCUGGUGAUAUCUGCUGGCCUCCGUGAUUGCUGCUUCGUGAGGUUUCAUUGCUGGGAGGUCUGUGAGCUUCCGGAGGAAGUGGAGGGCCACUUACCAAUCUGUCUGUGAUGCAAACUCACUGGAUGUGCAGUGUCCACCGGGUCCCCUCUGUAUCCUCUCAAUGGAAUUUUUGGGGGGCAAAGGGAAUGGAUUCUAAUGUCAUGUUUCUUGCUGUACUGUAAGGAAUAAAGUCUUUUGUCUCUGACU
This 1413-nucleotide long non-coding RNA is filed under the name Homo sapiens (human). RNAcentral describes it as "HSALNT0162045". The record is from RNAcentral. Lineage: Eukaryota; Metazoa; Chordata; Mammalia; Primates; Hominidae.